Molecule: long non-coding RNA, 515 nt
Organism: Pseudophryne corroboree (corroboree frog)
Lineage: Eukaryota; Metazoa; Chordata; Amphibia; Anura; Myobatrachidae
Exons: 4
Source: RefSeq, a predicted model, not a curated record
UCUGGCACUGGGGACAUAUGUGGCACUGGGAGCACAGCCCUAGCAACAAGGACUACCUCCUAGCAACGAGCAUGACACCCAGUGCAUGAAACACCUGACAACGAGCAUGACACCCAGUGCAUGAAACACCUGGCAACGAGCAUGACACCCAGUGCAUGAAACCCCUGACAACGAGAAGUUUCCAUGGUGAUGGGAGCACGCAAGCCGGUAUGCGCCAGAGACGGGACUUCGUGGUCCGCAGUUGAUGACGUAACCGGAUGUAGCUACACGGAGCUCCAUGAGCACCUGCACUUGUGGUGAUUUGAUUCUGUUAUUUAAGUUUCCAUGGUGAUGGGAGCACGCAAGCCGGUAUGCGCCAGAGACGGGACUUCGUGGUCCGCAGUUGAUGACGUAACCAGAUGUAGCUACACGGAGCUCCGUGAGCACCUGCACUUGUGGUGAUUUGAUUCUGUUAUUUAAGAAUUCAGCCCAUGCAAGGAAGCACGCUCAGCUCUACAAGGAAGAUGGAAGCCAGU